UACGUAGGCAGCGAGCGUUGUUCGGAGUUACUGGGCGUAAAGGGUGUGUAGGCGGUGGCUUAAGUUUGGUGUGAAAUCUCCCGGCUCAACUGGGAGGGUGCGCCGAAUACUGAGUCGCUCGAGUGCGGGAGAGGAGAGUGGAAUUCCUGGUGUAGCGGUGAAAUGCGUAGAUAUCAGGAGGAACACCGGUGGUGUAGGCGGCUCUCUGGACCGUAACUGACGCUGAGACACGAAAGCGUGGGUAGCAAAC
This 250-nucleotide ribosomal RNA is filed under the name uncultured bacterium. Its description in RNAcentral is "partial 16S ribosomal RNA". It matches the Rfam family "Bacterial small subunit ribosomal RNA", at positions 524 to 773 of the family's 1533-position model. The record is from RNAcentral.